AGCUAUUAAGUGCUCCCUGGGUGGCCACUGUUCGUAUAACCGAACGCCACGUGGAAAAGAAAACGGCGGCCAUCUUGUUCGCACGAGGAGAACCAGCGGGACUUGGUCUUCGAGUGUCUGGAACUAAAAUCGGACACUCGACCUCACGAACUACCGCUGGAAACUACCAAACGCCGGCUUCUCAUACUUCCCGAACAGCCAGGAAAGCCUCAUUCGGUAGUUCUGUGCGAACGGACAAGGGGAGCAAUCGCUACU
Molecule: non-coding RNA, 255 nt
Organism: Pelobates cultripes (western spadefoot toad)
Lineage: Eukaryota; Metazoa; Chordata; Amphibia; Anura; Pelobatidae
Source: the annotation of a GenBank genome assembly